RNAcentral lists this ribosomal RNA (447 nucleotides) under uncultured bacterium. Its description in RNAcentral is "partial 16S ribosomal RNA". It matches the Rfam family "Bacterial small subunit ribosomal RNA", at positions 29 to 523 of the family's 1533-position model. The record is from RNAcentral.
AACGAACGCUGGCGGCAGGCUUAACACAUGCAAGUCGAACGCCCCGCAAGGGGAGUGGCAGACGGGUGAGUAACGCGUGGGAAUCUACCCAGAUCUUCGGAACAACUGAGGGAAACUUCAGCUAAUACCGGAUACGCCCUACGGGGGAAAGAUUUAUCGGUUCUGGAUGAGCCCGCGUUGGAUUAGCUAGUUGGUGAGGUAAUGGCUCACCAAGGCGACGAUCCAUAGCUGGUCUGAGAGGGUGAGCAGCCACACUGGGACUGAGACACGGCCCAGACUCCUACGGGAGGCAGCAGUGGGGAAUAUUGGACAAUGGGCGAAAGCCUGAUCCAGCCAUGCCGCGUGAGUGAUGAAGGCCUUAGGGUUGUAAAGCUCUUUCAGUGGGGAAGAUAAUGACGGUACCCACAGAAGAAGCCCCGGCUAACUUCGUGCCAGCAGCCGCCGUAA